GGCUGUCCCCGCGUCCCGAGCCGUUACCUCCCCAGGCCCGGCCCGGCCCGGCCCGGCUCGGCUCUCCUCACACGCGGAGCCCGCCCAGCGCCUCCUUCCGCCCCGGUCGCAGGCUGCUGACGCUCCCGUCGCCUCCGCCCCCGCCAGCCCUGCCUGGAGCCGGGGAGUCGCCGCCGCCAGUGCCCGGAUUGAAGUGAUGUGGAGAGCCCUGUGUGCCCUGGUGGUACGGGGGAUGUAAUCAGGAGGCAAGGAGAAGCAAAGGAGGAGAGUAUUGCCUCAUCUUCUGCUCACAACAAGCCCAGGCCACCUGGCAUGGGAGGGGUAUGGGCAUAGCAGAGAGCGUGUGAAUCACCCUGGCCGUGCAGCUCAGUGCAGAGAUCUCUGGAGUAAUCACCCCAGCUUUCCAUCCUGAGCUGCAGAACUCAACAUGUAUAAGUCAGUAUUCGCUAAGAUACCAUCCCAGCAUGGAAAGAUUCUCAGCUGCAUCUUGGCUUUGGGACAAACCGGCUCACGAAGGGACCAGUGGAAGUCACUGUUUUUGAGAAUUUCAGGUGAGCUUUAGAUGGGUUGGAUUGCAGAGUUCCUGUGCCCAUCUUUAGCAGGAAAUCACCCACUCUCCAAUAAAAGCUUAAGACUUCUUUUUUUUUGGCACAUGACAAGCAGAGGAUUCGCUGUGCUUUACACAACCACCCUACUUCCUUUCACAUUAAACUGUAAAAGGAGCCCACGGCUUCGCAGGUGCUGGAGGCGAGGUGCAGGUCCUCCCUCAGCAGAGCCGGGCUGCCGGGGGCUGGGCGCCAGAUCCGCACCCGCCUCAGGGGCAGUUACUGACAGUUACGGCCAGUGCUGACAUUACAUAACCCUCAGUUUUGGGAUGGCACGUUAUCACACCCGCGGCUGAAUCCUCGACCGAGGUGUGAAGAGCCAAUAUUCAUGGCAACGGGCCAUGUUGGUGCACGAUGGCGCAGAGAGAUGGAAUUCUGCCCACACAUCGGCGCUCAGCGGAGGCGCCGCGGCUCCCU
Chiroxiphia lanceolata (lance-tailed manakin) is the source of this 1022-nucleotide long non-coding RNA. RefSeq lists it as uncharacterized. The transcript has 4 exons. Lineage: Eukaryota; Metazoa; Chordata; Aves; Passeriformes; Pipridae. The record is from RefSeq and is a predicted model, not a curated record.